Molecule: microRNA, 22 nt
Filed under: Homo sapiens (human)
Lineage: Eukaryota; Metazoa; Chordata; Mammalia; Primates; Hominidae
Description: hsa-miR-4713-3p
Source: miRBase by way of RNAcentral
UGGGAUCCAGACAGUGGGAGAA